GCUAAGGUACUGCAGGUGCCUGAGGAGUUGGGGCAAUUCCUUUACCAGUACUAGAAGCUGAAAAGAAAAGCCAACUUCAAUAAGCCUUUGAUAACUCCAAAGAAGGAUAAGGAGGACAAUCAGGCCAAAAGAGAGCAGUAUGUUCUGAUCAGAAGACUGCCGUUCUUCAUGCACCUCUUGCAGGAUCUGGAGUGGGGAACACCAUCAUGCGUGCAAUGCCUCUUGUAUAUAACCUCAUUAAAGGAACUCAUCUAACUCAUCUGUACUGAGGAAACUCUCACCUCCCCCAAAGGCAAUGACUCAAGAUACUAAUCAGUGCAAUGAGGAUGUCUGAGGGUUUUUCCAUCCACCACUUCAGCCUGGGCUAUACUUUUCCUUCCUCCACUACUGCAGCCACAAAGGCUGUUCUUGAUUUGCAAAGGAAGACAUCCAGCCACCACUUGUGCUGACUGCCUCAGGUAUAUAUCAAUUUAAACAAAGUGACA
Gallus gallus (chicken) is the source of this 485-nucleotide long non-coding RNA. Lineage: Eukaryota; Metazoa; Chordata; Aves; Galliformes; Phasianidae. The record is from Ensembl.